AGCAGCCGCGGUAAUUCCAGCUCCAAUAGCGUAUAUUAAAGUUGUUGCAGUUAAAAAGCUCGUAGUUGAAUUUCGGGGUUAGUAGGUUGGUCAUGCCUCUGGUAUGUACUGGUCUCACUGAUUCCUCCUUCCUGAUGAACCUUAAUGCCAUUAAUUUGGUGUUUUGGGGAAUUUGGACUGUUACUUUGAAAAAAUUAGAGUGUUUAAAGCAAGCUAACGCUUGAAUACAUUAGCAUGGAAUAAUGAAAUAGGACGUUCGAUCCUAUUUUGUUGGUUUCUAGGAUUGACGUAAUGAUUAAUAGGGAUAGUUGGGGGCAUUAGUAUUCAAUUGUCAGAGGUGAAAUUCUUGGAUUUAUUGAAGACUAACUACUGCGAAAGCAUUUGUCAAGGAUGUUUUCAUUAAUCAAGAACGAAAGUUAGGGGAUCGAAGACGAUCAGAUACCGUCGUAAUCUUAACCAUAAACUAUGCUGACUAGGGAUCGGAUGAUGUUAAUUUUUUAAUGACUCAUUCGGCGCCUUACG
This 522-nucleotide ribosomal RNA is filed under the name uncultured Glomeraceae. Its description in RNAcentral is "SSU rRNA". It matches the Rfam family "Eukaryotic small subunit ribosomal RNA", at positions 569 to 1092 of the family's 1831-position model. Lineage: Eukaryota; Fungi; Glomeromycota; Glomeromycetes; Glomerales; Glomeraceae. The record is from RNAcentral.